GGGAGCAUAGCUCAGCUGGGAGAGCAUCUGCCUUACAAGCAGGGGGUCAUAGGUUCGAGCCCUAU
Molecule: transfer RNA, 65 nt
Filed under: Clostridiales bacterium
Lineage: Bacteria; Bacillati; Bacillota; Clostridia; Eubacteriales
Description: tRNA-Val
Rfam family: tRNA
About the family: Transfer RNA (tRNA) molecules are approximately 80 nucleotides in length.
Source: RNAcentral